This 73-nucleotide transfer RNA is filed under the name Mycobacteroides abscessus subsp. bolletii. RNAcentral's name for it is "tRNA-Ala(tgc)". It matches the Rfam family "tRNA". Rfam says of the family: Transfer RNA (tRNA) molecules are approximately 80 nucleotides in length. Lineage: Bacteria; Bacillati; Actinomycetota; Actinomycetes; Mycobacteriales; Mycobacteriaceae. The record is from RNAcentral.
GGGCUGUUAGUUUAGUUGGUAAAACUCCUGUUUUGCACGCAGGUGUCCGGGGUUCGAUUCCCCGAUGGUCCAC